Molecule: ribosomal RNA, 292 nt
Filed under: uncultured Alphaproteobacteria bacterium
Lineage: Bacteria; Pseudomonadati; Pseudomonadota; Alphaproteobacteria
Description: partial 16S ribosomal RNA
Source: RNAcentral
GGACUACCGGGGUUUCUAAUCCUGUUUGCUCCCCACGCUUUCGCACCUCAGCGUCAGUAUCGGGCCAGUGAGCCGCCUUCGCCACUGGUGUUCUUGCGAAUAUCUACGAAUUUCACCUCUACACUCGCAGUUCCACUCACCUCUCCCGAACUCAAGGUCCCCAGUAUCGAAGGCAGUUCUGGAGUUAAGCUCCAGGAUUUCACCACCGACUUAAGGAUCCGCCUACGUGCGCUUUACGCCCAGUAAUUCCGAGCAACGCUAGCCCCCUUCGUAUUACCGCGGCGGCUGGCAC